This 219-nucleotide ribosomal RNA is filed under the name uncultured Neochlamydia sp. RNAcentral's name for it is "partial 16S ribosomal RNA". It matches the Rfam family "Bacterial small subunit ribosomal RNA", at positions 66 to 273 of the family's 1533-position model. The record is from RNAcentral. Lineage: Bacteria; Pseudomonadati; Chlamydiota; Chlamydiia; Parachlamydiales; Parachlamydiaceae.
ACGGAGUAACUUAGCAAUAAGUUACUCAGUGGCGGAAGGGUUAGUAAUACAUGGGUAACCUGCCUCUAACUUGGGAAUAACGGUUGGAAACGAUCGCUAAUACCGAAUGUGAUGAUACAAGGCAACUUGUUAUCAUUAAAGUGGGGGACCAAUAGGCCUCACGGUUAGAGAUGGGCCCAUGGGAUAUCAGCUAGUUGGUGUGGUAAUGGCGCACCAAGG